Molecule: regulatory RNA element, 98 nt
Organism: Prevotella sp. S7-1-8
Lineage: Bacteria; Pseudomonadati; Bacteroidota; Bacteroidia; Bacteroidales; Prevotellaceae
Rfam family: TPP riboswitch aptamer (THI element)
About the family: Vitamin B(1) in its active form thiamin pyrophosphate (TPP) is an essential coenzyme that is synthesised by coupling of pyrimidine and thiazole moieties in bacteria. The previously detected thiamin-regulatory element, thi box was extended, resulting in a new, highly conserved RNA secondary structure, the THI element, which is widely distributed in eubacteria and also occurs in some archaea.
Source: Rfam
AUGCUAUUCAAGGGGUGCUUGUCUGAUUAGACGGCUGAGAACAUACCCUGUAACCUGAUCCGGACAAUGCCGGCGUAGGAAGGAUAAAUCCCCUGUUU